Erigeron canadensis is the source of this 616-nucleotide long non-coding RNA. RefSeq lists it as uncharacterized. NCBI's taxonomy places the organism in Eukaryota, Viridiplantae, Streptophyta, Magnoliopsida, Asterales, Asteraceae. The record is from RefSeq and is a predicted model, not a curated record. The transcript has 4 exons.
GUUGUCUACCGCAGAACAAACCAUCAAGUUAUCCUAUCAUUCCUUUUCUUUUCCUGUAUAAAAAAACUCAAGAAUGAGAAAGUUAGGUUUUUUUCUUAUCAUUUCUUUUCCUAUCCCUCCUUAAAAAACUCAAGAACGGAGUGUUAGUAAAAUUGUUUAUACUAGUUUUUUUACUUCCUUACCCUAGAAUCCUAGAUCACUCAUUCAGUACCUUAUCAUCUGCCUUCUCUUUUCUUUUACCUAACCUCGACGAUUUUCCACCUCAACCAUCUUGGAAGCCCAUCGUCAUAAUGCUCAAGUUGUUUCAAAAGAUUGGCGGAUUUACUUCCGGUGAUCAUGGAAUAGUGAAUCAUAUGAUGAAAUCGAAGGAGACAUUAAUGGGUAUUUUGAAAACUAAAGCAUAUCCUUUAUGUAGCAUCAGGAUCAUCAAGCUCACUCAGCUGAUUAAUUGUUUCGAAGAAAAUAGAAUCUAGAAGCCUUACGGUGUGGUUGUGUUACUAGACCCGUGUGUAACAUGUAAUAAACUUGGCUUUCUUUGUUACAAAUAGCUGCAUAGUAGUAAAAGGAAGUAUGAUACAUCAGUUAUAUAGAAUUUCAGCCAACUGCCACAAAAGCA